GAAUGUUGUUGUUAGUGUUUGGCGGCGAGAGCGAGCGAGAGCCAAGCCAGCUGCAAAGAUGGAGGAGAAGAGGAAAAGGAGGAGGCGGUGGAGGCUGUGGUUAUGAAGGGCUGCCUUGGUGCCAGGGACGGCUGCUUAUAGGUUUCCCUCUUCCCUUUCUUCCCCUUCAUUCCUUUCUCUGCGGUGGGGAGGAGGAAGGCAUCUGGGCCCUUUGAUUUUGCAAGCUUGACAUCUUGCAGGAACAUCUGCAAAGGGGGAGAAACACAGCAGCAGAAGGAGAAAGGGAAGAAGGAGAAAGAGAAGGAGGAGAGGAAGAAGAAGAAGAAGGAGGAGGAGGAAAAGGAACGCGCCAUUUUCUCUCAUUCCCUGGCAGGAUUCCGUAGAAGAACUUUGCCCCUUUGUCAUAAGGGAUGUUCCAUCAGUGUUGGCAGGACGGCAUUUGACCAUCUUCACUGUCAACCCCUUAAUCCUUAUGUGAACGCUGCUGUAGUCCUAGCUCUGCAAACAGCUGCCUUUUCCUUGCUGAUUGUUCAUUGAAGGGCAAUAUGAACUCCACAAAUGAAUCAGUCAUCCCCAGUAUCU
This is a long non-coding RNA of Sceloporus undulatus (fence lizard), 582 nucleotides long. RefSeq lists it as uncharacterized. The record is from RefSeq and is a predicted model, not a curated record. The transcript is spliced from 3 exons. Lineage: Eukaryota; Metazoa; Chordata; Lepidosauria; Squamata; Phrynosomatidae.